UCGGAACACAGGUGCUGCAUGGCUGUCGUCAGCUCGUGUCGUGAGAUGUUGGGUUAAGUCCCGCAACGAGCGCAACCCUUAUCAUUAGUUGCUACGCAAGGGCACUCGUAAUGAGACUGCCGGUGACAAACCGGAGGAAGGUGGGGAUGACGUCAAGUCCUCAUGGCCCUUAUGGGUAGGGCUUCACACGUCAUACAAUGGUCGGUACAGAGGGUUGCCAAGCCGCGAGGCGGAGCCAAUCCCACAAAGCCGAUCGUAGUCCGGAUUGUUCUCUGCAACUCGAGAGCAUGAAGUCGGAAUCGCUAGUAAUCGCAGGUCAGCAUACUGCGGUGAAUACGUUCCCGGGUCUU
Molecule: ribosomal RNA, 350 nt
Filed under: uncultured Thiobacillus sp.
Lineage: Bacteria; Pseudomonadati; Pseudomonadota; Betaproteobacteria; Nitrosomonadales; Thiobacillaceae
Description: bacterial SSU rRNA
Rfam family: Bacterial small subunit ribosomal RNA
Source: RNAcentral